This is a non-coding RNA of Podarcis lilfordi (Lilford's wall lizard), 79 nucleotides long. The record is from the annotation of a GenBank genome assembly. NCBI's taxonomy places the organism in Eukaryota, Metazoa, Chordata, Lepidosauria, Squamata, Lacertidae.
CCCUGGGAUAGCUCAGUCAGUAGGGCAUGAGGCUUUUAAUCUCAGGGUUGUGAGUUUGAGUCCCAAACUCUAGUUUGGG